This 84-nucleotide transfer RNA is filed under the name Rhodothermaceae bacterium TMED105. Its description in RNAcentral is "tRNA-Leu". It matches the Rfam family "tRNA". From Rfam's summary of the family: Transfer RNA (tRNA) molecules are approximately 80 nucleotides in length. The record is from RNAcentral. Lineage: Bacteria; Pseudomonadati; Rhodothermota; Rhodothermia; Rhodothermales; Rhodothermaceae.
GACAGGGUGGCCGAGCGGUCUAAGGCGUUGCACUCAAGUUGCAAUGAGGUAAAACUCUCCGCGGUUCGAAUCCGCGUCCUGUCA